GAUGAACGCUGGCGGCGUGCCUAAUACAUCCAAGUCGAGCGAAAAAACGGGGGGCUUGCUCCUCUGCCGUUAGCGCCGGACGGGUGAUUACCACGUGGAUAACCUCCUUUUAGGCCGGGGAAACCUUCGGAAACCCGGGGCUAAAACCGGUAAUUUAAUUGAACCCCAUGGUUCAUUGUUAAAAGACGGUUUUGCUUUCACUUAUAGAGGGAUCCGCGCCGCAUUAGCUAGUUGGUAAGGUAACGGCUUACCAAGGCAACGAUGCGUAGCCGACCUGAGAGGGUGAUCGGCCACACUGGAACUGAGACACGGUCCAGACUCCUACGGGAGGCAGCAGUAGGGAAUCUUCCGCAAUGGGCGAAAGCUUGACGGAGCAACGCCGCGUGAGUGAUGAAGGUCUUCGGACCGUAAAACUCUGUUAUUAGGGAAGAACAAAUGUGUAAGUAACUAUGCACGUCUUGACGGUACCUAAUCAGAAAGCCACGGCUAACUACGUG
RNAcentral lists this ribosomal RNA (497 nucleotides) under uncultured bacterium. RNAcentral describes it as "partial 16S ribosomal RNA". It matches the Rfam family "Bacterial small subunit ribosomal RNA", at positions 28 to 507 of the family's 1533-position model. The record is from RNAcentral.